ACUGUUUACCUAUGAUACAGCUCCAGAGUGGGCAGGGCGCUCGGUUCUCCGCCCACCGGACCCGUUUCUGGGACAUGUACCGAGCCGCUCGACCGCUGUCACACUCACGUUGUACCCGGAGAGCACCGAUGUUUUCCUGCAGAGCGGCCUGGCAGCGGUGCGGGCUCUUGGCCCGGAGAGCGGCCCACAGGCUGCCCCAGGAGGCUGUGCAGCAGCGACUGAUGUCCUCGGUUCCUGGAGGGUCUGGAGAGAACGUGCUAUACACGGUGCUGUGUGGGGGAGCCCUGGUCGGGGCGCUGUCGUAUGCCUAUGUCACUGUGACUUCGGACCGUGACAGGUACAAUGAGCGUCUUGCAGAAAUUCAAGCCAGACCCAAGACCCAAUGGGUACCAAAGUCCUGGCCACCCAAAGCCAGAGAUGACAAUGAGGGUGGAGAUGAAGCAGGUGUGGAGGAGGCUGCUGCUGAGGCUGAGGCUGUAGUACAGGAAGCUGCUGAGGUGGUCGCUGAAGCUGCUGAGGUGGUCGCUGAAGCUGCUGAGGUGGUCGCUGAGGUGGCACAGGAAGUGGAAGCAGUUGCACAAGACGUGGCUGAAGGUGUUGAAGAAUCUGCAGAAGCAGUUGAGGAAUCAGCAAAAGUUGCUGCUCAAGAGCCAGAAGGCAAUGUGAUGCGGACUGCCGAUUCUGCAGUAGAAGUAAUGAAGAUAGCUGAAGUAAAGGAAGAGCUCCCAACAGCAGAGGAAAAGCCCAUAGAAGACAUGACUCCAGAUAUUCCUAAUGUUCCAGCAGCAGUAGAAACUACUCUAGAGGCUACACAAGUGGAAGUUCUUUUAAAGGUCCCUGUUCAAGUGGCUGAGGAUGGUUCACCAUUGGUUGUUGAGGAGGCACAAGUAGAUGUAGUAUCAGAAGAGCUACCUGUGCAAGUAGACACAAUUAAACCUUUUGAGGAAGCUCCUGCAGCAGUAGGGAUAGCCAUUUUACAGGAGACCCCUGCAUUCAUAAAAGAUGUAUCAGCUGCUGAGGACACACCUGUGUUAGUGGAGGUUGCAUCAGUUGUUGAGACUAUGGCACCUGUGGAGGUUGCAUCAGUUGUUGAGGAGAUCCCUGCACCAGUGGAGGUUGUAUUAGUAGUUGAGGAAACUCCUGCACCAGUGGAGAUUGUACCAGUUGUUGAGGAGAUCCCCGCACCAGUGGAGGUUGUAUUAGUAGUUGAGGAGAUCCUCGCACCAGUAGAGAUUGUACCAGUUGUUGAGGAGAUCCCCGCACCAGUGGAGAUUGUACCAGUUGUUGAGAUCCCUGCACCAGUGGAGGAUGUAUUAGUAGCUGAGGAAACUCCUGCACCAGUGGAGGUUGUACCAGUUGUUGAGGAUACUCCUGGACCAGUAGAGGUUGUACCAGUUGUUGAGGAUACUCCUGGACCAGUAGAGGUUGUACCAGUUGUUGAGGAGGCUCCUACACCAGUGGAGGUUGAACCAGUUGUUGAGACUCCUGGACCAGUAGAGGUUUCCCCCAUUGCUGUGGUGGCCAUGCCACUAAUAGAAGAAACCACAGGACCACUGGUUGCAGGGAUUGUGGCACAAGACAAGUUUGAUUCUGCUAAAGUUGAGGAACAAGUUAAAGUCGAGUUUGUAGCGGUCUCUUCUGUUGCCAGCAUUUCAGACCAAGCAGAUGCUUGUACUUUGAAGACCCAGUCAGAAGAUGCCCACAAAGAGUACAUUGUUGUUGUUCUGGAAGGAACACCUAAAGAGGAAAAAAGGCCCAAGGUUCUGGGAGUUGGUCCCUUGACUGGUAGAAUCAUCCCAGCCCAAGAAGAUGCCCCUGCCUCUGAGGUACAGGACCAGACUUUUCAGAUCUCAAAGUAGUUUAAGGUGUAGAAUACAUGGCAGCAUAAUGUUUUUCCAGUGUAGUUCCAGUUUUCAAAAAGGCCGUUAAAAAGCUCAAGAAAGUAUUAAAUCCAGCCUUUUCUUUCAUACGAGUGUAUUGUGGGCUGCAGAAAAACUGUCUAACGUGGCUUUUGAAACUUUUGCUACUCAGGUUAAGCGACACCUUAUUAAGAUGCAAAUGCAGUAGUCACAACAAAGUAAGCGUCUCAUGAAUGAUGACUGUCCUCCAGUACAAGAGGAUGUGCCUUUCUUCAAUACUUCCAUUCUGUAACUUUGACAUGCAAAAGGAGUCUUGGUUAGCUUUAUUGUGUUUAGUACGACUGUUUUACUGAGCCAUGAUUAGAACAAAGAGGCUGUGACCCAAAAGUCCCAGGUGAGUCCAGUAAGAUGUCUGCCUCUCUUUUUGUGUAGAGGGACAUAGAACUGCAGUCAGUUUACAGCUUUUGAUAAAACUGAGCCAGUCUGUUAACUUUAUUUUUACUGUUACAGUUUACGAUCUCAAAGAUCACUCCAGUGAAACAGUUGAAAUCAUCAGAUUUUAGACCAAAUCAAACUGCCCAGUCUGGUGUUGGCUAGCGUGUUACCAGUCACCAGCAGUUAGUCAAACUAACUAACCUCAGGUUUUCCUCUGUUGCUCCUAGUGUGCUGGAACGCUUGAUGUACCUAAUCUUUUUACAUGUAAACCAGGAGUGGGGAACCCUGGUCCUCGAGGGCCGGUGUCUUGCAUGUCUUUGCUCCAACACUUCUGAUUCAGUGGUUUAUUCACCUGUUCUGCAGCUCAUUAACCUCUGCAGAAGCCUGUUAAUCACCUGCUGAUUGAAAUCAGGUGUGAUGAUGCAGGGUUGAAACUAAAAUAUGCUGGAUAGCGGCCCUCGAUGGACCAGGGUUCCCCACCCCUGAUGUAAACACUUGUAGCAUGCUGGAUAAAGAGCCCAUGAACUUAUCUUUCUACCUCAGCCUUUCGAAGUUGUCAACCCUUAAAGAUUUUCAAAUACGAGUGUCCUACGCUACUCUACUGGUUACGUUUGCUGGCUGACCAAGACCAGUAAAACUUAUCUAAGGGUUCUGUUCUUGCAUUGAGAGUACCCGUGCUGAAAAUACACUUUAGAGACGAUCAUUGAGUUAAAAGUGCUAAACUCCUCCUGCUCCAUCCCUGUUUUGGUCUACACCCUUCAUUUUCCAUAAGCUAUUGAUCUGGAUAUUCCGGUUUUUCCGUGUCUUUGUACUCCUGCUAACUCCGUUUAAAACUGUUGUAGAACAACGUCUGUACCAGCUUGGUGAUAUUAAGAUGUUCAUUUUCCAGACAGUGUUAACACUGAAAUAGUUUCUAGUUCUGUUUCCAUAUGCAAUGUUACUGACUAAAGAACAACCUGGUGAGGGACAUUUAUCUAUAUGUGAUUGUUGUAAUUUGUAUUGGAAAGGUAAGGGAAAGGCUUGGCAUCUCAAAGAUGAACUAACGUAGCAUCAUUAAAGGCAUGCAAAUGGUUUGUGAAGAGGACUGGAACUAGAAGGACAACCCUUCCAUGUCAAUGCAAUACACCCAGAGGUCGGGCAUUUAUUAUAAUAGUCAAUGCAAUCGACAAUGACUAAAGGUUUAGGUUUUGAAAUCGUUGAAUAUCCUACUCGGCGCUGGCUUGAAUCAGCGUUCAGAUGGGCUUGCUUAUCUCCAAAGUCAUUCUCGGGCUGGAACGUGUACGGUUAGGUCUGAUAUUCUUUCUGCUCGUCUGAAUUGUGUUCCAGGUAAGAAAAGUCCGAUAGAUUAGCAGAGGCUACAUCUGACUCUGAUGAAACGCCACCUGCCGUAAUAUAAAUACACAAAAACCAGUGUUGUGGAUUGUUUACUAUAGUUUCUUCACUAAGGAGAUUCCCUCUGGUGAUGCAAGUGGCGAGGUAGUGUUAAGACCAGGAACAGUAUUUUAUUUGUUUUGCUGUGCUAUUUAAAACAUAUUUAAUGCAAAAUUCUACCAUGGAAAUCCAAACAUACUUUCUUAAAUGUUUUACUCAUGCUCACAGGAAAUAUACCUCUGGCCAGUAGCUUUAAAACUGCACGUUUAGGUGUAGUUCUUUGACAUGUUGUGGUAAAAAUAUCUUUGAUUGGGGUAAUUAGUUGGUGGUAUCGUUGUUUUCUGUCCUUUCAUGUUUGUUUUCUUUUCCUCUAGCUGUCAGGUGUGUUUAUUGAUGUGUACUUACAAAUGCUUUCAGCACAAACAGGAGUUACAGACAUGUGUUUGUGACUUUCUCUUCUUUCAAACUUUCCACCUGCCUGUAACUCUUCUGUUUUAAAAGCUCACGUGGAAUCGUUGAGGGUGUAAACGAGUUGAGAUUUGGACAUUACACUGGGCUCAUAGGCUGGUGUUGGUCCUAGCACAUUAUUGGAAGCUAGUAAUUUAGUAAAAGAUCAAUACUGUGGCACAUUUUGUUCUGCAAAAUAAAGAGGAAUUAAAUCUGAA
Molecule: non-coding RNA, 4330 nt
Organism: Nothobranchius furzeri (turquoise killifish)
Lineage: Eukaryota; Metazoa; Chordata; Actinopteri; Cyprinodontiformes; Nothobranchiidae
Source: RefSeq, a predicted model, not a curated record